AUGACUGUUGAAAGCCCCCGGGGUUAUAUCAAAGGUCGAGGACAACCCACGAGACUUACAGAUGCCAGAGCUCUUGGAUCUCUUGGAAAGAGAGAAAACAGGGAAUCACUGAGUGUAGAGGCAAAGAUCAUUUGGCCCCCAAGGCACAGCUCCAGGGCUCUGUCCAAGAGCCAAAGCCUGAAUCAGCUCUGUCUGCCAGUCUGUCUGCUUCCCAUUCUCUCUCUCUCUCUCUCUGUCUCUCUCUGUCUCUCUGUCUCUCUGUCUCUCUCUCUCUCUCUGUCUCUCUCUCUCUCUCUGUCUCUCUCUUUCUCUCUCUCUCUCUCUCUCUCUCUCUCUCUCUCUCUCUCUCUCUCUCUCUCUCUCUCUCUCUCUGUGUGUCACUCCUUUCCUCCUUCCAGAUCUCUUGAAAGAGUUCUCUCUAUCCCACUCACCCUUCUUCCCUCCCUCAGUUCAUCUUUCUUUCCCUUCUUUCCUUCCUUCUUUUCUCUCCCCUUUCCUUCCUUUCUCUCUUCUUUGAUUCCCUCCUUCCCAUCUUUUCUUCCUCCUUUCCCUCCUUCCUUCUCACCUUUCUUUCCCUUCUUCCCUUCCUUUCCCUUCUUUCCUUCCUACCUUCCUUCUGUAAUGGAUGCGAGAAUGGAGUCAUCCACUAUGUUUACUUUGAUUCUUGGGAGUUAAAGAGGUGGGAUGGAGCCAGAAGAUGGAGAAGGGGAUAGAUAGGUCCUCCCCUCUCUUCCCCCAGUGAGGACAGCACAAGUUGUCUUUUAGAGGGACAGAAUAUGUCCCUUCAGUGCCUGAAUAUAGAGCCUGAAUAUUGAGUAUAGAGUCAUGGACUGAAGCUGACUCUCCCUCCUUGAGAGAGUAUAGCUUUCCUCCCCAAGCUUCAGAUCUCUUCUUGAGUGUUAUGAGACAGGCAACUUGAUCUAUAAAGAAUAAUUCUUUUAUUCUAAAAGGGAUACACAAAGACAGGGGGAAUAGGGUUGUUGAGUAAGGGAAGUGGGAAAUGGGAGAUCCCUAAGAUCUAACAACUGACCCUCCUCCCCAAAUCUUGAGGUUCAGAUUGUCCUGACUUCUAUCUCCCCAAGUUGUAGCAUGAAGUUCACAGGACAACUGUAGGGAAUAGAAAGAAGAAAGUCUUCUUUGGGUGGGUGGUUUUAUAAUAAAGUCCCAUCCACUCCUUUUUUCUCCA
This 1186-nucleotide long non-coding RNA is filed under the name Monodelphis domestica (gray short-tailed opossum). RNAcentral describes it as "lncRNA (ENSMODG00000038750.1)". The record is from RNAcentral. Lineage: Eukaryota; Metazoa; Chordata; Mammalia; Didelphimorphia; Didelphidae.